UUGUGGAGGAGGACGCCGAAGGUGGGGCUAAUGACUGGGGUGAAGUCGUAACAAGGUAGCCGUACCGGAAGGUGCGGCUGGAUCACCUCCUAACAGGGAGACAACAAAAUGUUUAAUAUUAUUAUUUUGUCACCUUAGGUCGAUCGGUAUCUCACGUUCUUAAUUUAUUAAGGAUUUCAUUUCCUAGGUUUUUCUAGGUCACACCCAUUAUUUUUCCUGGGCCAUUAGCUCAGGUGGUUAGAGCGCACCCCUGAUAAGGGUGAGGUCCCUGGUUCAAGUCCAGGAUGGCCCAUAUCUCUAUGUUGGGGGUAUAGCUCAGUUGGUAGAGCGCCUGCUUUGCAAGCAGGAUGUCAGCGGUUCGAGUCCGCUUACCUCCACUGAUUACCACCUCUUCCAUAAUCUGUAGAAAGGGAAUUUUUUGAGUCGUGACCAAAUUCUGAAAGAAUCUAGCUUCCUAAUGAAAUCAUUAAGAUGCUGGACUCAUUGAUUAAUUUCAUUGUUUUCAGAGAACCUUGACAACUGCAUAGAUUAUUUUUUUAAAGACAAUAAGCAUCUUUAAUGAUGCAGAUUUAUUAUUUGUGCGAAUGCAUUAAUAACAAUUCUAUUAAGCUGAUGCUUCAAUUUUGAAGUUAUUGGUCAAGCUACAA
Molecule: unclassified non-coding RNA, 647 nt
Filed under: uncultured Prochlorococcus sp.
Lineage: Bacteria; Bacillati; Cyanobacteriota; Cyanophyceae; Synechococcales; Prochlorococcaceae
Description: partial 16S-23S ribosomal RNA intergenic spacer; may also contain 16S ribosomal RNA and 23S ribosomal RNA
Rfam family: tRNA (bases 305-377)
Source: RNAcentral